Molecule: ribosomal RNA, 118 nt
Filed under: Olea europaea subsp. europaea
Lineage: Eukaryota; Viridiplantae; Streptophyta; Magnoliopsida; Lamiales; Oleaceae
Source: RNAcentral
ACCAACUACUGUGCCACGUUGAGUACGCCAUGUCUCGUUACAUCACUGAUGUUAAGCAACAUUGGGCGUGGUCAGUACUUGAAUGGGUGACUGCCUGUAAGAUCCUGUUUUGUUGGUU